AGCGAACGUUAGCGGCGGGCCUAACACAUGCAAGUCGAACGCGAAAGGUCUUCGGACUGAGUAGAGUGGCGCACGGGUGAGUAACACGUAGGUAAUCUACCCUUUGGCGGGGGAUAACGUUCCGAAAGGAGCGCUAAUACCGCAUAAGACCACGGAGUCUCCGGACGCUGUGGGAAAAGGUGGCCUCUUCUUGAAAGCUACCACCGAAGGAUGAGCCUGCGUCCCAUCAGCUAGUUGGUAAGGUAAUGGCUUACCAAGGCGAAGACGGGUAGCUGGUUUGAGAGAAUGAUCAGCCACACUGGCACUGGAACACGGGCCAGACUCCUACGGGAGGCAGCAGUGAGGAAUAUUGGGCAAUGGGCGAAAGCCUGACCCAGCCACGCCGCGUGAGUGAAGAAGGCCU
Molecule: ribosomal RNA, 403 nt
Filed under: uncultured bacterium
Lineage: Bacteria
Description: bacterial SSU rRNA
Rfam family: Bacterial small subunit ribosomal RNA
Source: RNAcentral